UCGGUAGGUAGAUAUCAUUUUUUGUUUCAAAUGGUUCAACUAUGCUCAUAAUUAUUUAAGCACCUACCAACUUGCAUGAUGAUGUUUAACGUUUGCAUUUUGACAUUUGGAAGUGAACUGACAUUGUUUAUUCGGUGAUACAACUAUACGAGUGAGAGAAGAAUGAAAGAGAAAAGCAUAGAGUUUGACACAAAUGAGAAGAACAUGAAAUCUACGACGGCGCCAGAAGAGGAAGGAGGAGGAUAUCGAUGAAGCUAGUUUCAAUUAUUUUCUAUACCACUUCUUUUUAUUGGUUUUUGUUUCGUUUAGGGUUUGCGGUUUUUAUUGUCCUCUCGUUAUAUUAUUGUGAACCAAAAGUCAUGGUUAUGACUUCCAUUUCCUCUCUAUUUAAUGUAGGAUUUAUGUUUUCUCUAUUGUGGUCCUUAAUUGUGCGUUUUCUUAUGUUGUAGUCCAUGUGUUAUAUGAAUUUUUUUACAACAGUGAUCUCAUGCAUUUUGAUGUUUGUGCAUGUUUGUUUACAUAAAUCCAGGUGUUGUCUGUGUCUCAAACCAUAAGUGAUGGAGGGUAGAUUUGAGUAUGUGGCACAUCAUGGAGAGGAUUUGGUAAUUUUGCUCAUACAAACUACCAUGGUUCGGAAACAAGUUGGUUUUGUUAUCCAGAUUUUUGUGUUUAUUUUAAAGUUUUUGGUAACUUGAAAAAAUUGGGUUACCCAUUUGUAUAUUCCAUGUGGUUUUAUGAUCCAAAGGACAAUAGGGAGAUGGUAUUGUUGAAUGAUGAUAUAGGUGCAAAGAGGGUGAAAAACAUAUCAUUAAGAAUAAAGGGCCAAGUGAAGAGGAUAAUGAGAAACGGACCUAUGAGGAAGAGAAUGUUAUUGGGCCUAAUGUUGCAGUAAAUGGCAUUGCGUCCAAUGAAGGGGAUAAUAAGAAAAAGAAAACGUUAUUGGGUCUAAUGUUGCAAUAAAUGAUACCAGUCCAAAUGAAAGUGAUAAUGAUAAAGGAUCUUAUGAUAAUGGACACAAGGAGGGAAAUAUGUUAUUUUUGAUGAAGAUUGUAAUGAGAAAAGUGAUGAUAGUGCUUUAUAGAUUCAUUUUGAUGACUCAGAAGAAGAUAUUGGACUUAAAGAUUAUUUCAACAAAGAAAUUGUUGACCAAAUUGAACCCAACAUAAGUGAAGUUGUUGGUUAGGAAGUCACUGUUAAGAAUGUUGUUGACAAUACUGGGUCCAAAGAAGUUGUUCACCAUAUUGUUAGUAAAAGGAAUGAAGCUAGUGAUAAUGAGUCACAAAAGAAGAGAGGAAGACAAAAAAAAAAAACAGCCUAUAG
Non-coding RNA from Cicer arietinum (chickpea), 1320 nucleotides. Lineage: Eukaryota; Viridiplantae; Streptophyta; Magnoliopsida; Fabales; Fabaceae. The record is from RefSeq and is a predicted model, not a curated record.